RNAcentral lists this long non-coding RNA (15591 nucleotides) under Prunus persica (peach). RNAcentral's name for it is "long non-coding RNA (PPER_LNC003565)". Lineage: Eukaryota; Viridiplantae; Streptophyta; Magnoliopsida; Rosales; Rosaceae. The record is from RNAcentral.
UUUUAUGGAACACAACUACCCAUUAUAUUUUUUUAAUUCUAAAAUAAAUUUAUUAAAAAAAAAAAAAAAAACCUCUUGCAGGCACAGAAGCGCGUGCGGAGAGGCUAGUUUAUAGGUACACAAAAUAGGUACAAUUACAAAAGAUAUGUUCAUUAAAAAAAAAAAAAAAGGUAUAUUAUUAAUAUGAAAUCGGUACAUUUGUUUAUGCCAAUCAUGGGUUUUAUUAAUAGGAACACAAGUGAUGAAUUACAGUUAAGGAAAAUUCAAUUUAGAGGGGGUAAGCCAAAUUUACUGUUAAGGAAUAUGUGGUCAAGAUUUCUAGGUAUUUUGAAAAAGUAUCAAGAGUGUUAGGGAGUAAUUGAUCAAUAUCUUUCAACAUUUAUAAGAUUUAUAACAAUGUGUGACAUACCUGAGGUAAACCAGGAACCAAAAAGUAGAAACCUUUAAUUGGAUGAUUAGCCAGAGACAUCUGCUCCACAGGUCCAAUCAUAUUUGAGAUUACCAUGCUCGAGUUCUUCAAUGUGCGAUGAAUGUAUCUGCUGGAUGCCUGCAAAACUAACAAUAUGUUAACACUAAAAGAAACAAAUCUGAAUUUGAGCUCUGAAGCAGAUUGAAUUAGUUCAAAUUAAUUGGGUCGUGAAAUGACGGCGUAACGUAAAUCAUAUUGUAGUCUUCACUUUACUAACCUCACGGCUUCCAAAUUUGUUCACAAUCUCCAAUAGCCUACUAGUGAAAUGAGCAGCUAAAGAGUUUCUCUUCCUCUUUAUCAUUUUGUGUGUGUGCCUGAUAAAGUCCUCCGCAUUUGAGAGUUCAGUUAAAUUGGGUAUGGGUACUUGCAAGAAUGUAAAACGAUUUCCCCAUGGCAUCUUGCUGUUGGGUUUGAUCAUCUCCUCAAUUGGCAUAUAAUCCCCCAUGAGCCUUGUGUUCAGCAACACCAUUGCUGUACAAUCUGCUGUGCUUGAACUUUGGUCAAUCUCUUGCAUGUACAGUCGAGUUCCGAAGAAGAUCAUCCCGGUGAGAACAUCAUUUAGAGUCUAAUAGAGUCAGUAAAAAAGUUAAUUACAUUGUAUAAAUGUGGAAGAACCGCUUCCCAAAUUCUGUACCGACUUAUUUCAAGAGGCAGUAAAUGCAUUUAUUUCAAUGUAGUAUAUAAUAUUAAAAAGUCAUGAUGGUUCACAAAUAAAUCAAUAUCUGACCCAUUUCACUUUUCAUUUAAAUAUAGAGAAUAUAAUAAAACUUUAUAACAUGAGAUUUCUGACUACAAAAAAGAUGGUAGCUUUUGUGACAACUGCUACCUAUAUCUGAUGUUAUUAUGAGAUAACUUUGUCACAAAUAUCUGAAAAGCAAUGAAAAUGAUAUGUCGUAGGCUCAGUUUGGGAUUGCUGUCAUUUAAAAAAAAAUUUGUUUCUGCUGUGCUUUGAAAAGAAUUAGUUGUAAAGUAAAGCAGCUCUAUGUUUGAUAAAUAAUAUUUUUAAAGUGCUGUUAGUAUAAAAAAACAAUGUCAAACCGUUUGGUAAAUUUUAAUAUAAAACUGUUAUAACUGUAAAUAAUGACUAAAAUAUACAUGAUGUUGAAAGUGUUAUGCGCUAAUCAUGUGGUGGUGGUGGAGUGGAGGUGGUGGUGAAAGAUGUGGUGAUGAAGGUGGAGUUGGUGGUUGUGGUAGUGUUGGUGGUGGUAAUGGCAGUUGUGGAGGUGGUGAAUGCGGUAGUGGAGUUGGAUGUGGAAGUGGAGGUGGUGUUAUUUUUUUAAAAUAAAUAAUGGUAUUUUGGGAAUUAAAAAAAAUCAUUAAAGGCUUAUCUCGGCUUCUUUUGAAAACAACUUUGAAAAGCAACCUAGUGCCUGCUUUUUAAAACUGCUGUCAAAAGGCCACUGUUUUGAAAAUAAUCUGGAUAUUUUAUUUUUACCAAACACCUUAAACUACUUAAUUUUAAAGUGAAGCAGAUUUUUGGCCAAAAAAGCAAUCCUUAGAUUGCUUCAAAUAUUCUCAAAUGAUUUUGGUUUGGAAUUAAAUUCUAUAGUAAAUUUAGCUUAACUCUUUUAAAGUCAUUCUAUAACCUCCCAUGUAACCUCGUAUAAAUAUGUUUUCCACGAGUUUAAACAAUUUUAACACUACGUACUAAAGAUUCUGGAAGCCAAGUAUGAAAAAGAAAAGACAUUACACAUAUAAGAGUCCUCGAAUGAAAUCCUAAUAGUUGAGUCAUCUUACCACUCCAAACUUGUUCUUGAUUGAUUUGAGUUGAUCAAGAGAGAAGGUCAUAGUUGCUAUAGUACUUGGGCGAAAUUCAAUUGCAUCGUUGCUCGACUUGAUUGGUGUUAGAUCAUCUUCUUUCAAGGUCUUCGAAAUGCCCCACAAAAUAUCUGAAAUUGUGUUGCAUGCAGAUGAGAAAAUCUUAGUCACAAAAAAAUUCUCCCUCUUCUUCGAUUCUGACCGCUGUCGUGAAGGAAAAGUUAAGGGGAGAGAAGGGUUGUCAGCUCUUUGUAGGGUAGAAAUGAGAGCACCCAUGAGAGAGUAGCCAUCUCCUAGAGCAUGGUGAAACUUGAAGACUACAUUACCAGCUGCAUUGCUAGUUGGGUACUUGAUAAUAUGAACUUCCCAUAGUGGUUUGCCUUGUGGAUAUCUUUCUGUUGAUAACCUUGACAAAUAGUCCUCAAGAUACUGGUCAUAUGAUUCAGGCGACAGGUUGGAAGGGAAAAUAGGGAUCAUAACGUGGUCUUCAAGCUUCACUUCGACCCUUCUCCACUCUUUCUUUCCAUCAUUUUCAACCUGUUUCAAAAUCAAAUAUCGCUCAAGUUUUCAACUUCGUCUAUGAUAAAACUUGGAAACAAAAUUCACACUAGGUGAGAGAGAGAGAGAGAGAGAGAGAGAGAGAGAGAGAGAGAGAUAACCAUGAUAGAGGAGAAACGGGGGCUGAUGGGGAGGAAGACGUUCUUAAGCAAUGACAUUGUUUGAGACUCGGCAUCAAUAAUUGGAAUCUCAAAUUCCAAAACAGCAAGAACCGAAAGAGUUAUCACAUCACUGCUGAAGUACUGGCCAUUUGGGCUCACUGGCUCUAGUCCUUCCAAGUUCCCGAACUCCAUCUUCUUUGCUUUUACAAGAAAUUAUACUUCCUUCAUAACGCAUCGGUUGUGCAUUUAUAGCAGUUUCCCCAAUUCUAUCUUCUUCCCAAAAAAAAAAAAAACAUAUUUAAUAUUUUUGGUAGCUGCUAUGAUUCAUGAUCACUGUCCUUCCAAUUUACUGGGAUAGCUUAACAUUAAAUAUUCGAGACACGACUACUUAAUUUUCACCUUUCUUUUUCUUUAAAUAGCUGUAUCUUAUAAGAAUGAAAAAAGAUUUUCUAGUGAUAUUAUUGGUACGUAUAUGUUAUGCUGAAAACUCAUCCAAGGGUUGAGGGUUGAGGGUUAAGUUUUUUUUGUGUGUUUUUUGAUGAAUUAGUUUUGUAUAUGUGUGUCAAAUUGUGAUUUGUAGAAAGGAGGUAAGCGUGUCCUUAGAAUUUAUAUUGAAAAUGUAAUUAUAUAGAAUUCUAAAAAGACAUAAUUUAGACAUAAGCACAAAAUGAACACAAAAACUAUCAGUAGUAGAGUAUCUAGAUUGGGGUGAUUUUCAAGUUUUCAAUAAUAUAUCGUUUAGGAGUGAUUCUAGAUAGGUCAGAAUCUAUUUUGGGGAGAGUGCUUCUCCAUAUAAUCACUUUUAGGUUUUUUUUUUUGUUUUUUUUGUUUAGAAAGAGAAUUCAUUCAUAGAACCAAAGACGUAUAAAGAACGACAUGAUAUAGUGACCUCGUUAAAACCUUUCUAUUCUCUCUAAAUUUCUAAGGGAAUUUUUUUGAAUUUUAUUAUUCGCAAUUUGCCAAGAAUUUGUUAACAAACUCAAUUAAUUGAAUGCGAGCAAACAACACUUUAAGAAAAUAAUUCAAAUCGUAACUCAAAGUCGUUAUCCAUAUUUCAAUCUAUACUCCACAUCUAUUAGCUGCCAACAAAUGGCAGAAGGAGGAGUGGUUGUCUCUAUUGUCCUGGUGUGAAGCGAAAGUGAAUGCUUCCUUGCUUUUAGAGCAGCGUUUUGCAAAGCAAAGUUUAUGUUGUAAUUAUUGGUUUUUUUUUUUUUUUUUCAGAUAACCGGGCCACGAUUACAAUUGAAUGCUGGCAUAAUAAACCCAACUAACUCAUUUGAAUGGAUCCAAUCUCUGCCAUUGGAAAAAAAAAAACAAAAACCAAUUAUUUUACAGAGAGUAUGGGUUGGACCAUUUAAAGAAGUUGGUUCGGGUUAUUAUGUCAGCAUUCAAUUGUAAUCGUGGACCAGUUAUCUAUGAAAAAGAAACCUUUUCGAUAAGAUGAAAUAAUAUGAUAACAAGGGAAAAUAUCAACAUUGAGCAUGGGCAGAAUAUCGCCAUGAAAAUCAUAAGCUAGAUCUGGCAGUGGUAUUAAUUGGUCAGAACCGGAUUAUAUGGUCUGCAUGCAUGAUCCAAUCUCUACCAUUGGAUCAAUAAAAAAACCAAUUAUUUUACAGAGAAGGGAUUGGAUUAACUAAAAUAUGCACGAUAUUAUAUCUAGCCCUGGAUCUUUCCUCAUCAGUCGAGAUCUUGCAUACGGCCCAAUGGUGAACAAAGGUAACAACUAUCAUUGUGGUGUUGAGCUCUAUUAUCCCCCCGCCACCGGCUACCAACAUAGUUUUAUACAGAGCAUCCUGAUACAGCCCAUGGAUUCCAUCAACCUGUUUUUUUCUUGGUGUGUGGAAUUUAAAGAGGCAAGAGAAGUCACCACCUUGACAAAUUUCAACAAAGACUUGGUGAAAUCCUUCAGUAUUUCGAUUAGAGAUCACCGGUUUAGUGACGCUAAUAUUCUCAUCAGCUAGUGGAAAGAUAUGUCAGCUAGUUGGUUUUCUCAACCAUGCUUGGAGAUUGAAGAUAGGAUCUUCAGGCAUUGCCCAUGCUCAUUGAUCUAUCAAUAAGAAAUAGAGAAGAAGAAAGCCCAAGCAAAAGGUAAGAUAUUUAUUUAUUUAUUUUGGCUAUCUUUCUUCUUUUUCUAACCCUUCAAAUCUCACAGCCGACACUGCCGAGAAGGAAAAUCCUCCGCCCGACAUUAUUGAGAGGGAGGGCUCCGCCAAUCCCGUUGAUGCUAAUUCUGGGCACCUUACGAAAUACAAGCAGCCAGAUUAAAUUUGAGCAUGCUAGAGUCCUUGUGGCGGGGCCGUGGCUGGAAGCUCAAAAGGGAUACAAGACUUGAAUUCGGUUGGGCUGCGUUUAAGCUUGCAUGAAGAGUGCUGCUCAGUUUUAUAGCUGGAAUAGUGGUCGGGUUUGCUGGAGUGUAGCGGCCGGGUUUGCUGGAAUGUUGUGGUCAGGCCUUGUUCGAAUGCAGCCAGGUUUUGUUCGAAGUGUGGUUGGAAACAAGAAGGUGGCCGGGCUUUGUUCGAGUGAGUUUGGAUAGCUCAAACGUGGCUAGAAAGUAUGGCCGAGUUUUGUAGUUGGAGUCGAGCCAGGCUUGAACCACAGAGCUGCGACCGAAUGCAGUUGAGCAGCCGGGUGAAGCUGGGCACGGCUGGAGGAGCUGGGGCUGCGAGAUGCGGCUGGGCAAGACUGAAAUUGCUGUGAUUCUGGCGGGCGGAAUUGCUGGAGAACUUGGGAAACUUUGAGGUCUUGUGAAUAUGCGGCCGGGUCUUAUUUUAUGUUUAUGUAUUAUGAGCAAUAAAAAUGGAUGGCCUUUUAAGAAAGCACGGAGGUCCAAGCCCAGGCCAUUGAUUCGAGCCCAAGAUUUCUGGAAGAAUAUAUGCACAUGGAGGAGGCUUCACAAGGAAAAAAAAAGCAAGGAGGUUAAUAAUAAUUCUAAAUGUUCCAAAACAAGAAAGAAUCAAGCAUAUCAGAAUAUCUCCAUCAAUGCAAUCCCAUGGAUUUAGGGAGGCCUCGGAAGGAACGAAGUUUUAAAAGAGUUGACCUUUGACCAUUUAAUAGCCAGCCCAUAGGCUAACGAAUGCCCUAUAUAAAUCUCACCAAACGAAAGAAAGAAACACACAACAUCAGACAGACAAACCUAUCUUUCAUCUUGCACUUUUCUUUUCCUAGACUUAGGAUUUUACUUUUCAAGUACCUAGUGUAGCAAGUUCUUCCUUUUUCUAGUGUAAGUUUAUUCUUUUUCAAUUUAUAUUUUCUUGUCAUUUAAAUUCAAGUUUAUUUCUAUUGCUUUGCUUUUCAUUGUUAUCGCACUUCAAUUAAGUUUAAUUUCAAGUUUAUUUUAUUUUAUUGUUCUUAUCGCUUUUAUUUCGUUCUUGCUUUACUUAUCGCUUUGAUUUAUUUUGUCGCACUUUUAUUCUUGUCUUUACGUUUCAACGCACCUUUAGUUUCGUUGCAUUUUUUUAAUUUAAAACCCUAAAAAUAACAAAAACAUCGGUUCGAAGCCUAACCAUCCUCGAGCUCGACGAAGUGAAAGAACCUAGGCCAAGAAGAGGUUCCUUGCUUGGCCGAUCAAUUGUUUGAUUAGAAGUUAAAAGUGCAACACAUCCAUCUACUCACAUUCUAUUCAAGCUCAAAUUCAUGGCUUAGUGGUGGCACGCCUCAUACUCAAAAGAAGACGGACCAAAAGUUCCUUCCGUUGGCCGCCUCCACCAAAAAGAGGGAAACACCUUAUCACAUAAUAUUGGGCCCUCCACCGAACUUGUUGGCUAUCUGACCCAUUUGGGGUUUUCAAAUAUUGCACGAUGUUGUGCCUUAAAUCCUUCAGUGCUAUGGUUAACACCAUAACUUCCGCUGGGGUUCCUCUUUCAAAGACAGAGGGGAGAGAUCGUUUCUCUACUCUAAAAAUCUCCUCAGAGAGCCCCUCAGAGAUUUGCACUCUGGAUGCUAAUUGGGCUAUAGCGUUGGCCUGAGAGUUGUGCGCCCAUGUUAGAUGUUCGAGACCCGUCAAUAUAGAGGAGCCAUGGAAAUAAACUCAGCUUGCUGACCUCAAGGAAAUCCAUUUCUUUUAUUUGAACACAAGGUUGGGCGGCUAAGAAAUCAGCCAAAGCUUGCCCUUUGAUAGCCUAUUGAGGUACGUACCGGAAAGUGAACUCCGCCAAUGCCAUCGUCCAUUUUGCUAUCCGCCCUCUAAUGAUCGGCCGAGUGAGCAUGUAUUUUAUCAAAUCAGUUUUGGCAAUUAUAUGCACGACGGAAGGCAACAUGUAAUGCCUUAACUUGGUCGUGGUAAAGUAUAAGGCUAAGCAAAGUUUCUCCAUCGGCAAGUAUUUCCUCUCGGUGGCUGUUAGAAUUAGGCUGAGGUAGUAUACUGCUUGCUCUUUCCUCUCAUCGUUGUCUUAGGCUAACAAACUUCCGAUGGACUUCUCUCCGGCCGAAAUAUACAAUUUCAAGGGUCGGCCCUACUUUGGCAGAAUGAGCAUUGGAGGUUUGACCAAAUACUCUUUAUUGGUGUCGAAUGACCUUUGGUGAGUCUCUUCCCAUAGAAAUUUCUCUUCAUCUUUGAGUUUUAGCAAAGAUGAGAAAGGUUCAACUUUUCCCGCGAAGUUGGCUAUAAACCUUCGAAGAAAGUUAAUUUGGCCCAAUAAACUUUGCAUACCUUUCUUGUUCUUUGGAGGGGGUACGUCAAUGAUAGCCUUAGCCUUAUUUUUAUCAAUUUCAAUCCCCCUUUGGUGUACCAAGAAUCCUAAAAAAUUUCCAGCGGACACCUCGGAAGCACACUUUUUUGAGUUCAUCUUCAAUUGAUGCCUCCACAUAAUCUCCAUUUUCAAUUAUUAAUAUAUAUAUAUAUAUAUAUAUAUAUAUAAAGUGGGCAGUUGCAAAGAAACCUCUCCAAUCCUGAAAACAGCCCAGCUGCAAACAUCCCAAGGUUCUAGCCCAAAAAAAAAACCAGCAACUCCCGAUUGCCCCAAAUCUCGGCCACACCUCAUCCAACUCAAAGACCCGGCGACACAUCCUUUGGGCAUCUCGAGCUGCACCUCCAGUAGCGAAAAGCUAGCAAUCAGCCGCAAACAUUCGGCCGUAACAGACUUCUAGCCUGGCAGCAUCUUCAGCUCCUAGUUUGGCUGUAGCCCAGUCGUGUUCUCUAGUAGAUCCGGGCGCCCCACUCCAGCAAAUCUAGCGUCCUUCUCUCAACCCAGCUCCAUCCGACACGACCCUCCAAAUCUCUGGCCAUGAACGUCUGGGCCCCGACAGCAAAUCCAUCUAGUCAAGCUCUCGCAACCUAGCUCCAUUUGGCUGCAUUCUCCAACUGCAAGCCAUUCCGGCCACACAACUCCAACAUUCUAGCCCCCAAGCUCUGGCCGCAAUUCUGCAUUUCAAGUCCAAAUCCGGCUGCAUUCUCGCAAGCCCCAAGAACUCCAAACCCGGCCACAUCGGGUCCUGGGCUUCAACCGACUUGGCUCCAAAAAUUUUAACCACCAAGAUUCAACACCCCGGGCCGCAUCUCAAGCUUCAACCCGACCAACCUCUAUUCUUCACACUGAGCAGUCGUCUGUUUUCGAAAAGUGCCCGAAUUGGGUGAACUUUCACCAACACCAAACAGCUAGAACAAUAGAACACCAAUAGAUGCCCCUAAUUUAAUAUUUGAGGCAAUCAUAACACCAAUAGAAGCUUUGAGAGAUAUUGGGAGGUUUUUCAACCUAGUGGAGGACAAUUAUAUUUGUUAGGAUUAACGAUAUUUAAUUCAGAUAAAAAGAAAAAUGAUAUUUUAUAAAUCUAAUCAAAUUACGCUCUACGUCAACUUCAUUAAUUUUAUGUCAAAUUGGUAAUGUGGCAAGUGGGAUGCUUACUUUUAUGCUAAAAAAUAAAAAAUAAAAAAAUUCUUGAAAAAUAAUAUUUUUAAAACAAAAAAAAUUAUUCUCUCUCUCUCUCUCUCUCUCUCUCUCUCUCUCUUUCUCUCUCGCUCUUCUCUUUGCGUUUUUAUGAAAUCUUAUCUUGGAGAAGGAUAAUGUAGAGCAUUCUAAAAAAUAAAGCAUUCUAAAGGGACAUAUCUUCUGAGAAGCUAAUAUGAUAGUUGCUUCCUUCCUCGUCCCUAUAAUACAACAAAAUAGAUCCCAAAAUAUAAUUUUGAAGUCUCUUAAAUCAUGGAGCUUUGUUGUUCUUUAUAACGGAUCAAUUUAUUCUCAAUAUUAAUUAUCUUCAUCAUGUUUCCAACUACAUCACAACUCUUCAUAUCCUUCAAUGAUCCAUGUAUAAGUUUUUUUACCAUGCAUAAAGUAGAGCCCUGCAUCAUAAUUACAAAUUACAACACAUAAAUUACAAUACUACAAAGUAAUUUAAGUCGAUAUCUACAUAUUUACAAGUAUUAUACUCACUUAAUCUCAGAUUUCCACCAAAGGAGUGCGUCUUUAUUGUUGACUCAAAUAUAAUUAAGGUUUUGAAUAUUUCAGUAUGAUUCUAUUCUUCUCACAAGGAGGCAUUUAUAGUGAUAGAAAUACAAGCCUAUCUAUGAAAUAAAUACAUUAAGGAAAAAGGAAAUAAAUACAAUCCCAAUCAAACCGAUAUUCCUAUAAUUACAAAUCAAUUAUAAUAAAGGUAAUAAUUAUAAUUCAUGAUUCACACCAACACUCCCCCUUAAGAUGGCGCAUAAAUGUUGCAUAUGCCCAGCUCGACAAGUGAAUCUGUAAAGACUUGAUUUGAUACGACCUUGGUCAACAUAUCCGCCAAGUGUUCAGUAGUCUUAACAAGCGGAACUUCAAUAAUCUUCCCUUCUAAUUUCUCAUAAAUAAAGUGUUUGGGCCUAAAUUUGACACGCCAAAAUUCAGAAGACAGGCCCAUGGUGAAAUUACCUGCCCAGCCCAAAAAACUUGAGGGUAACAAAAUCAGGAUCCAGACAGGUUGAAAGACCAACGUGGAAACUUUCAUUUGGGCUUCAGGGAUCAGCCCAUAAUUUUUUGUUGGGUUCAAACCCAAAGGAAUUAAAAACACACCCACGUGAUUGCCUCAACUUUGAAAAGUCAGCAAUUUCAACUAAGUUAAAAAUAUGAGAGGGACAUCUCUGAAACACUGCCAGCAGAAGAUCAAAACCCAUCUGUGAUCAGAAAUUUUGCUCCAAGAAGCAAUACACCAUCUUCCAAGGAAUUCCCGGGUCACGCUUUCUAAAUUAGAACGGGAAACAGGGAGUUGUGCAGAAAAUACAAAUAAGAAAACCAACUGCCAUAAAAUUUAGCCCACACAGACGGUGGCGUUGGUUGAAAUAAAAAUCUGCAAACCCAGGAAACCAGGGAAGGGACUGCUUUAGGAGGUGACUACUGAAAGCCUAUCUGCCAUGAUUGAUAAAAAUCCCUUUUACUUUACAUUAUGGAGAUCUUUUUACCGCCCAUUAUUAAAAUUUAAACAAAAGACCACCGCCCUAAGAGGGUCUCUUAUAAAAACGAAGGUAGGCAAGGAAGGAAGACACUCAAUUCAUCAAUCAAUCAAAAAAAACAAACAACAAGAAAACAACCAAAAGCUCACUUGGAUUCCAAGAGAAACCAGCUUUAGAUCAGAAUUUCAAAGUUCAGACUUAGAAAAUAAGUCUUCUAAAACGAGAUCUCUCUCGUUACAAAUUUGGUUCAGCAAAAGCCAAGGCAAGCAGAGUUUGAGUUUUCACAAAUGUGGAGACCUCAGCGAACUUAUGAAAAGUCCUGCUCAAGCAGAACAACGCUCGUAGUGCAAUCCCUAGCCCACCAAGCCCUCGAGAACAGCCACUUCUGCCUCUUCAAACUGAAGAAGCUGCAGUUUUGCCCACUAAAAAGCCUCCCAAGGCUUGAAGUAGAUUAAAUCUCUGCCAAAAUUGAACUUUGGUAUCGAUUUACAGCUGAAGCUAAGCAGUUGAAAUUGUUGACAACUCAGUCUAGCACAGACAUACUCAGUCCAGCCUGGAUCAGAAGUUUCUACCCAGGCAGAAAUGGGAUUCCAGCCAUCUUUUUGUCUUUCUAGAGUUGAUGUCUCCCUUCUUAAUUUUGUAAAAGGCAGUUCUGCCUAAAACAGUCCACUUUAUUAUUAUCUAUUCUGGCCAGAACAACCAUUUGAUACUGAGAUAAAUUAUGAAAGUCCUCACCAGUCUGAGGCAAGAAAAGAACUUACUUGGGAGAUAUUCCUCACCCAAAUUCACAAUCGUUUGUUUUAGAAGUCAGUAACUUGGGGCGCAAGUUAUCCACUCUAAAAGAAGUCUGCUAGAAUUUACAUUGCUAGCAGUGGCACGCUCACACACCAAAGAAAGCUGACUUGUCGACCAACAAAUGGUCUCCAAGCCAUUGGGGAACUUCGCCCUUCCACCUCAGGAGUAAACACGAAAACGGGUAAACAUAAAGUUCCAAUCAACUUUACAUGUUUCGUUCUGUCAUGCUGAAUUGGAUUAUCAAAAAUCUUAAUUGCUGACUGAUUAUCACAAUACAACUUCAUAGUAUUCUCAGUAGGAAUACUCAGCUCCCCCAUAAGUCUUUUUAACCAUAGAAAUUCACAAACACCUUUCAACAUAGCCUGAUACUCUGCCUCUACACUAGACGAAGAGACAACCUUUUGCUUUUUAUUCCUCAAAGUAACCAAGUUACCUCUUAUAAAAGUGAAAUAACCAGACUUCGAUCUCCUCUUAUCCUCUUUUCCUGCCCAGUCUGAAUUCGUAUACCCGACAACCUUUACAUGCUUUUGGUUUAAGAACAUCAAACAUUUUCCUGGUGCAAACUUCAAAUACCUCAAAUUCGGACUACUGCAUCCAUUUGUCAGUUUGUUUCAUCGCAGUGAGUAGCAUGGGGUUAUCUUGUUUCUAUUAAAGUUGGCUUACCAAAGAUGCGAAAAGAGGAAAAAGAAAAGGCAGAAAAAAGUGUUUCAGACCAGUGCUCUAAGUUUUGGCGCUUGAGUGGAAGUUGCAGGCACUCAAGCGGCAGAGAGAAGAAUUUCCACCCAGUCCCAAGUGCUCAAGCGGAAGUGCAGGAGCUUGAGCGGAUGUCACAAAUUCAACGCAGACCCUUGGUGUGUUUGACUAGGUUUUUCCUAUUAUUUUAGGAUUUUUUAGCCUAAUUUAAUAAGGUUUUAGUUUCCUAUUCCUAGUUAACUUGUACCAAAAGUCCUAUGCAUUAUAAAUAGGACUUUUAGGGCUAGGUUAAAAUCAAGAGACAGGAAUUUUCAAGAGAGAGACACAAGAGAAUUCGAAGGGGAAUUCUAGGGUGUUUUUGAAGUGCAUCAAGGUUUGAGUAAGGGUGAGAGAAAAUAGAGCUAGUGUUCUUGUGAGAUCUAAGGGUGUUCUUAAUUGUAACCAAAGUUGACCUUAUAUACUAGUGAAAUUCUCGAGUGGAUCACCAAAAGGACGUAGGCAUGAGGCCGAACCUCUAUAAAUCUUUGUGUUCUUGCAUGUGUUUGCUUUCUCUCUUCGGUGUGUAUAUUUUAUUAUCAAGUGGUUCAUGUGUGUGUCGUUGCGUAGUUCAUCAACGACAAGGUCAUGGAGUAUUUUCGCACAACAAGUGGUAUCAGAGCCGCAGUUGCGGGGGUUUAUGCCCAAGUGCUCUUACUAUUUUAAGAGCGGUGGCAUGUUGAUGAUGGCAGGUGACAAGGAGGCGGUGGGAGAAAGCUCCCAAGAGAAGACACCACAACAUAUGUCGAGUACGAAGGUAGAGUUGAAGUCGUUCACUGGCAAUGAGAACUUUAUGCUUUGGUAAAGGAGGAUGAAGCAUGUCCUUAAGCAGCAAGGUCUCAGCUUUGUUUUGGCAGACAAGGAGAAGAAGCCGAACACCACGACGGAAGUGAAAUGGGAAGACCGAGAUGAGCUUGCUAGAGGAUCUAUUGAACAACACCUCACUGACGGAGUGUUGUGUAACGCAAUAGAAGAUACCGCAAAGUAUACAUGGGAGAAGCUUGAAGAGUUGUUUGCGUCAAGAUUGUUGUCCAACAAGCUCUUUUUGAAGGAGGAGCUCCACUCUCUGAAGAUGGAGGAGGGCGAAAACAUGAUGGAGCAUGUUAGUGUCUUGAAUAGGUGUAUUGUAGAUUUGCAAAGAAUGGAUGAGGUUUAUAAGUCAGAAGACAAAGCCAUGAUGUUGUUAACAUCCUUGCCUCCGUCUUAUAAACAUUUCCGCACGACGUUUAUGUUAGGCAAGGGAACUCUGAGUAUAAAGUGGUCAUGCAAGACACCUAGACGCAUGACAGGAUGCUUCAACAUCAGGAUAUGGCUCUCAAAGUGAAGGUCUCAUGACAAGGACUGGAAGGAGAGGAGUUCAAACAAGUGUGGAGACAAGUCAAGUAAAGGUAGGAAUUCUAGAUCCGAGGCUGAUGAAGGGUGCUUCGAGUAUGGAUCUAAGGACCAUUGGAAGUGGAAUUGUUCAGUAUGUAAGGUGAAACGGAACAAGAUGAAGGAUGCAAAAAGUUCAUGUGCAAUAAACGUAUCAACUAGUUGUGAAACCGAUGAUGAACUUUUGACGGUUACGGAUGAAGAGCAUAAUGGGGAAGUCGUGGCACAUUCUUUAGGUAAAAGUUCUACUUCAAUUUAGAUUCUAGAUUCCGAUUGUUCAUUUCAUGUGUGUUAAAAUAGAAUGGAGUUUAAUACAUAUGAAGAAAGGAAUGGUAGCAAGAUUUCAUUGGAGACAAAACAAGUUGUGAUGUUUUGGGCGUGGGAACAGUGAAGAUCAAGACUCAUGAUGGUGUUGUUAGGAGCCUUAGUGAAGGGUAUUCACUAGAUAGAGAAAAGGCAGUUUGUUUGUUUCAACGUGGGGUGACGGUGAUGGUGUUGUCAGUUUGUUUUAGCGCAAUGAGUAGCAUGGGGUUAUCUUGUUUCUAUUAAAGUUGGCUUACCAUAGAUGCGAAAGGAGGAAAAAGAAAAGGCAUAAAAAAGUGUUUCAGACCAGUGCUCUAGGUUUUGGCACUUGAGUGGAAGUUGCAGGCACUCGAGUGGCACAGAGACGAAUUUCCACCCAGUCCCAAGUGCUCAGGCGGAAGUGCAGGAGCUUGAGCGAAUGUCACAAAUUCAGCGCGGACCCUGGGUGUGUUUGACUAGGUUUUUCCUAUUAUUUUAAGAUUUUCUAGCCUAAUUUAAUAAGGUUUUAGUUUCCUAUUCCUAGUUAACUUGUACCAAAAGUCCUAUGCAUUAUAAAUAGGACUUUUAGGGCUAGGUUAAAAUCAAGAGAGAGGAAUUUUCAAGAGAGAGACACAAGAGAAUUCAAAGGGGAAUUCAAGUGCAUCAAGGUUUGAGCAAGGGUGAGAGAAAAGAGAGCCAAUGUUCUUGUGAGACCUUAGGGGAUUCUUGAUUGUAACCAAAGUUGUUCUUACAUACUAGUGAACUUAUCGGGUGAAUCACCAAGAGGACGUAGGCAUGGGGCCGAACCUCUAUAAAUCUGUGUGUUCUUGUGUGUGUUUGCUUUCUCUCUUUGGUGUGUGUAUUUUAUCUUCAAGUGGUUUGUGUGUGUGUGUCGUCGCAUAGUCCAUCAACAACAAGGACUUGGAGCAUUUUUGCACAACAAUUUCAAUUACCACCUAAUGAGCUAUAUAGAUUUUCUCAUCAAAUUCUGUCAUUCAAGAUGACUAGUGAUGAAAGAGAUGGUGUUUCGAAAGAAUCCUUUGAGUUUGAGCCUGCUUCUUUGCCCUCCAAUCUUGAUGAUUUCAUUGAUUUGAAAAAGGAUAACAGAGCCAUGAAUACUGAACCUAAUGGUUUGUCCCGUGAGUUCUAGAAAGUGAAGGCAAACCUGUAAUGGGAUUGUGCAUUGUACAAUUACAUAAAGAAAAUUCAUUGAAAGGUGCAUGUACUGCCAGAUAUUUCACUUAGGAUUGCUAAAUUUUGGUUUGAUGGUUUAGUUUUCUUUUAAUGCACCAGUAUACAAUAAUAUGCUAUAUAGGUGUCCGUAAUUUCAUUUCCUUUCAGACAUAUUCCAAUAUUCUUCUUUCUUGUUUCAAUAAUUUUCUGUUUUUGAAUUUGUUUUUGUUGAAGUUCAACUUGAUAUCAUUAUUGGUUAUAUAAGUAGUAAUCAAUACUUAGUUUGAUAAUAGAAUAUUGACAUUGUCUUCCUGCUAACAAACAAAUUUUAUGUCCGUUUUACGUGUUUAAGUCUAUAAAAUUAAGAAGCCACUGUAGGGUUUUGUUGGGAUACACAUCUGAAAGAACUUCAUGACUUGGUGAAAGGCAAUGGUAGCGAAAUGGCUGGGCAUAUUGAAUUUUUGCUUAGUAAAUCACUGUGAGGUAUAAAAGCCAUGUCAAAAUGUGCUCCCAUAGCAGUUUACUAAAUUACAGAUUUUUAUGCAAACUCAAAAUCUAAAAAAGGACACAAAUUCAUGUAAAAAGUGAAACCCAGUUUAGGAUUGGUAAUAGGGUGUUGUGUGAUAGAUUGUAUUAGGGUAUACUAGGAGAAUUUUUAGUAGUUAAAUAGGGUGUACUUAGUUAAUUUUAUAUUUUGAUUAAAAUAUUACUCUGUACUAAAAUCAUAGGGUGUACUCAGUUAAUUUUAGGAUUCGUUUAGCACCACUCUAUUUAUAUUGUCAUAUUUAAUCAGCUCUAAUCUCUGAUUAAAAAAAAAGAAAAGAAUUCUCUGAUUUUGAUUUGGGCUCCCUAUCAUAGUGGACUGGGCCUUUAGUUUAUAUUACUUUGAUUAGGCCAAUCUCUCAUGGAUCCUCUUUAUAUCAGCCCACCCCCUAGUUUGCCUCUCUUUUCUUUUUCUUACGCCCAAACGUGCUCUCAAGAAAGAAAGAAAAAUCAAA